CACUAUGCCUAGCCUUAAACAUCGAUGACAUUUUACAACUGUCAUCCGCCCGGGUACUACGAGCAUCAGCUUAAAACCCAAAGGACUUGGCGGUGCUUUAGAUCCACCUAGAGGAGCCUGUUCUAGAACCGAUAACCCCCGUUCAACCUCACCCUUCCUUGUUUAUCCCGCCUAUAUACCACCGUCGUCAGCUUACCCUGUGAAGGCUUAAAUAGUAAGCAAAAUUGGCACAGCCCAAAACGUCAGGUCGAGGUGUAGCGUAUGGAAGGGGAAGAAAUGGGCUACAUUCCCUAAUCCAGCGCAUACGGACGACACAUUGAAAUACGUAUCCGAAGGAGGAUUUAGCAGUAAGCAGAAAAUAGAGCGUUCCGCUGAAACCGGCCCUGAAGCGCGCACACACCGCCCGUCACUCUCCCCGAGCUUACAUUUAUUUAUAAAUAAAACCUCAUAAUUGCAAAGGGGAGGCAAGUCGUAA
This 475-nucleotide ribosomal RNA is filed under the name Zebrasoma velifer (sailfin tang). RNAcentral's name for it is "partial small subunit ribosomal RNA". It matches the Rfam family "Bacterial small subunit ribosomal RNA", at positions 788 to 1491 of the family's 1533-position model. Lineage: Eukaryota; Metazoa; Chordata; Actinopteri; Acanthuriformes; Acanthuridae. The record is from RNAcentral.